AUAAAAUGGACAAAACUUUAAGAGUUAUUAGUAUUCAUGUAACAGCGUAAUAAACAGCACAUUUACGGUAUGAAUAAAUAUUUCUAAACAAAGUUACCAUCUUUAUUGUUCGUUGGCAUUAGGGAUGUAACAAUAAAGUGUUGAAAAAUAUGAAGGACUUUAACCGCAUGUGGCGCUCUCGUUUUCACUCAACACUCUCACAAUCGCACCCGGAAACAAACCCCCACCUGUGGAAUCAAACCCCGCCUACUUCUCUGCGCGCGAAAUUCAUUUGUGCAAAAGACGGGUUAGUGUGAGGAGCUCCUCAAAACUCCGGAGCUUUAAGGAAGAACGUACAGAAAGCAAAAAGAACUUACAGCGGGAGCAUGUAAGACCCUCACCAUCUUUUUCGAUGAUGUUGUCCGUGAGAAAGCCUUCGUCUUUGCCGGGAAAAAAACCUCUUCCUCGGGACUCUCUGGCGUAAGAAAAGCCUCCUUUCCACCCGGAGCAAAAAGGGAACAUUUGCCGGCUGCGGGACUCGUGGGACUGGAACCCUGAGAGCUGAAACAAGCAAAUAUCUCCUGUCUGAUAUUUGAAAACAUAUCCAAAAGAUCCAACCAUUCCGUAAGCAUCCAAGCACCAUUUCUCACGCAAAGACUCGGUUGGAGGAAUUUGAGUGCGUUUCAAAAAAAACUCUACUUUUGCGAGGAGCGGCCAGGGGUCGCGGGGGGCGCUGGAGCCUAUCUCAGCUACAAUCGGGCGGAAGGCGGGGUACACCCUGGACAAGUCGCCACCUCAUCGCAGGGCCAACACAGAUAGACAGACAACAUUCACACUCACAUUCACACACUAGGGCCAAUUUAGUGUUGCCAAUCAACCUAUCCCCAGGUGCAUGUCUUUGGAGGUGGGAGGAAGCCGGAGUACCCGGAGGGAACCCACGCAGUCACGGGGAGAACAUGCAAACUCCACACAGAAAGAUCCCGAGCCCGGGAUUGAACCCAAGACUACUCAGGACCUUCGUAUUGUAUUAUAUUGUUUAUGUUAAAUAGGGAGUGAGUGAGAGGGGUUGGGAUAUUAUAAGCAAUUGCUUCAUCCAACCCCUUUUCAAGCCAUGCAUAAAUGUCUCUGCCAAAAUGUAAAAAAAAAAAAAUGUGUGUUGUUGUAUUGUGCAGGUUUGAAAUAAAUACUU
Molecule: long non-coding RNA, 1168 nt
Organism: Nerophis lumbriciformis (worm pipefish)
Lineage: Eukaryota; Metazoa; Chordata; Actinopteri; Syngnathiformes; Syngnathidae
Source: RefSeq, a predicted model, not a curated record